GUUUCUAUCUAUGAAGUGUUUUCUUCCAGUACGAAAGGAUCGAAGAAAAGAGGCCUAUGCUUAAUGUAAGCCUCACCCCCACCUAAUGAGAACAACUAAAUUAGACAAAAGGCACCUCCCCAUGCCAGAGGAUAAUAGCU
RNAcentral lists this ribosomal RNA (140 nucleotides) under Carlhubbsia stuarti (barred livebearer). Its description in RNAcentral is "partial 16S ribosomal RNA". Lineage: Eukaryota; Metazoa; Chordata; Actinopteri; Cyprinodontiformes; Poeciliidae. The record is from RNAcentral.